Pelobates cultripes (western spadefoot toad) is the source of this 211-nucleotide non-coding RNA. NCBI's taxonomy places the organism in Eukaryota, Metazoa, Chordata, Amphibia, Anura, Pelobatidae. The record is from the annotation of a GenBank genome assembly.
CUGCGAUUUUGCUUUGGCAACAUUAAAACCUAGAACUCGCCAUGUGCAAACCUUCUCAUUAGACAUAUUUCAACGCUUUGGUUUGUAUAUAUCUAUCAACCAUGAUCGUAUCCUUAGUCCUGUAUCUAUAUUGUUAUACAUCUGGUUGUAGUUACACCAUCUUUCUGUGAAACCGUUUGUUGCACGUGAAGAAGCCUACAACAGAUGUUUC